GGGUUGUGAGGUUAAGCGACUAAGCGUACACGGUGGAUGCCCUGGCAGUCAGAGGCGAUGAAGGACGUGCUAAUCUGCGAUAAGCGCCGGUAAGGUGAUAUGAACCGUUAUAACCGGCGAUUUCCGAAUGGGGAAACCCAGUGUGACUCGUCACACUAUCAUUAACUGAAUCCAUAGGUUAAUGAGGCGAACCGGGGGAACUGAAACAUCUAAGUACCCCGAGGAAAAGAAAUCAACCGAGAUUCCCCCAGUAGCGGCGAGCGAACGGGGAGGAGCCCAGAGCCUGAAUCAGCAUGUGUGUUAGUGGAAGCGUCUGGAAAGGCGCGCGAUACAGGGUGACAGCCCCGUACACAAAAGCGCAUGUGCUGUGAGCUCGAUGAGUAGGGCGGGACACGUGGUAUCCUGUCUGAAUAUGGGGGGACCAUCCUCCAAGGCUAAAUACUCCUGACUGACCGAUAGUGAACCAGUACCGUGAGGGAAAGGCGAAAAGAACCCCGGCGAGGGGAGUGAAAAAGAACCUGAAACCGUGUACGUACAAGCAGUGGGAGCACCUUCGGGUGUGACUGCGUACCUUUUGUAUAAUGGGUCAGCGACUUAUAUUCUGUAGCAAGGUUAACCGUAUAGGGGAGCCGGAGGGAAACCGAGUCUUAACCGGGCGUUAAGUUGCAGGGUAUAGACCCGAAACCCGGUGAUCUAGCCAUGGGCAGGUUGAAGGUUGGGUAACACUAACUGGAGGACCGAACCGACUAAUGUUGAAAAAUUAGCGGAUGACCUGUGGCU
This 780-nucleotide ribosomal RNA is filed under the name Salmonella enterica subsp. enterica serovar Alachua. RNAcentral's name for it is "partial 23S ribosomal RNA". It matches the Rfam family "Bacterial large subunit ribosomal RNA", at positions 1 to 816 of the family's 2925-position model. Lineage: Bacteria; Pseudomonadati; Pseudomonadota; Gammaproteobacteria; Enterobacterales; Enterobacteriaceae. The record is from RNAcentral.